GGCGCUAUAGCCAAGUGGUUACGGCGACAGAUUCGAAUAUCCUCAAAGUUUCUUAUCUGUUCCUCUUUGAGGGCGCAGGUUCAAAUCCUGCUGGCGUCG
Molecule: non-coding RNA, 99 nt
Organism: Gymnopus androsaceus JB14
Lineage: Eukaryota; Fungi; Basidiomycota; Agaricomycetes; Agaricales; Omphalotaceae
Source: the annotation of a GenBank genome assembly